AUUCCCAUAGUUCAACGGAUAGAACGAUAGUUUCCUAAACUGUAAAUAUGAGUUCGAUUCUCAUUGGGAAUA
Molecule: transfer RNA, 72 nt
Filed under: Bacteriophage sp.
Description: tRNA-Arg
Rfam family: tRNA
About the family: Transfer RNA (tRNA) molecules are approximately 80 nucleotides in length. Their secondary structure includes four short double-helical elements and three loops (D, anti-codon, and T loops).
Source: RNAcentral